RNAcentral lists this long non-coding RNA (379 nucleotides) under Prunus dulcis (almond). Its description in RNAcentral is "sRNA ncRNA". Lineage: Eukaryota; Viridiplantae; Streptophyta; Magnoliopsida; Rosales; Rosaceae. The record is from RNAcentral.
AUGGGCAUGUUACAUAUAACGUAUACCAGUAGAAAUGAAGAUGGAGACGUGGACAAUCAUAGUCACACUUAUGUUUGUGGCCUUUGCUGUAAUGAUCGCUUUGAGUUUGUUUUUCGGAAGGCGUACAACGGUACAAUUGUCCCCCAUGGUGGUACUGGCGGUGGUAGAGGUGGAGGCUUUAGGCGGUGGAGCCCAUAUUAAUAACGACGUUGAAGCCAAUAUUGGCAUUGGAACAGACUUUGGCGGUGGGGCUGACUAUGGCGGUGGAGCUGGUUUUGGUGACGGCGGCAUAGGAGGUGGCGCUGGUUUUGGCGGUGGAGGUGAUUUUGGUGGUGGUGGUGGUGGAGGGGGAGGAGGACAUGUUGGCAGUGCAUGUUAA